Molecule: ribosomal RNA, 230 nt
Filed under: uncultured bacterium
Lineage: Bacteria
Description: partial 16S ribosomal RNA
Rfam family: Bacterial small subunit ribosomal RNA
Source: RNAcentral
AAAGCGUGCGCAGGCGGUUUUGUAAGUUUGUCGUGAAAUCCCCGGGCUCAACCUGGGAAUGGCGAUGAAGACUGCAAGGCUAGAAUCUGGCAGAGGGGGGUAGAAUUCCACGUGUAGCAGUGAAAUGCGUAGAGAUGUGGAGGAACACCGAUGGCGAAGGCAGCCCCCUGGGUCAAGAUUGACGCUCAUGCACGAAAGCGUGGGGAGCAAACAGGAUUAGAUACCCGAGU